UAGUCCACGCCGUAAACGAUGGAUACUCGGUGCUGCCGGACUUGUCUGGCGGUGCCCAAGCUAACGCAUUAAGUAUCCCACCUGGGGAGUACGCUCGCAAGAUUGAAACUCAAAGGAAUUGACGGGGGCCCGCACAAGCGGUGGAGCAUGUGGUUUAAUUCGAUGAUACGCGAGGAACCUUACCAGGGCUUAAAUGUAAUAUGACAGGACUAGAGAUAGUUUUUUCUUCGGACAUAUUACAAGGUGCUGCAUGGUUGUCGUCAGCUCGUGCCGUGAGGUGUCAGGUUAAGUCCUAUAACGAGCGCAACCCCUGCCGUUAGUUGCCAGCAUUUAAAGAUGGGGACUCUAGCGGGACUGCCGGUGCAAACCGAGAGGAAGGUGGGGAUGACGUCAAAUCAUCACGGCCCUUACGUCCUGGGCUACACACGUGCUACAAUGGUAGUGACAGAGAGCAGCUACUGCGCAAGCAGGUNCGAAUCUAUUAAACGCUAAUCUCAGUUC
RNAcentral lists this ribosomal RNA (501 nucleotides) under uncultured bacterium. RNAcentral describes it as "bacterial SSU rRNA". It matches the Rfam family "Bacterial small subunit ribosomal RNA", at positions 791 to 1294 of the family's 1533-position model. The record is from RNAcentral.